UGGGGAAUAUUGGACAAUGGGCGGAAGCCUGAUCCAGCAAUACCGCGUGUGUGAAGAAGGCCUGAGGGUUGUAAAGCACUUUUAAUCGGGAGGAAGAGCGCUUGGUUAAUACCCAAGCGUGUGACAUUACCGAUAGAAACAGCACCGGCUAACUCCGUGCCAGCAGCCGCGGUAAUACGGAGGGUGCGAGCGUUAAUCGGAAUUACUGGGCGUAAAGCGUGCGUAGGUGGCGGAUGAAGUCAGAUGUGAAAGCCCCGGGCUUAACCUGGGAAUGGCAUUUGAAACUGGUUGGCUAGAGUUGAGUAGAGGGGAGUGGAAUUUCCGGUGUAGCGGUGAAAUGCGUAGAGAUCGGAAGGAACACCCGUGGCGAAGGCGGCUUCCUGGACUCAAACUGACGCUG
Molecule: ribosomal RNA, 400 nt
Filed under: uncultured bacterium
Lineage: Bacteria
Description: bacterial SSU rRNA
Rfam family: Bacterial small subunit ribosomal RNA
Source: RNAcentral